Cricetulus griseus (Chinese hamster) is the source of this 2030-nucleotide non-coding RNA. The record is from RefSeq and is a predicted model, not a curated record. NCBI's taxonomy places the organism in Eukaryota, Metazoa, Chordata, Mammalia, Rodentia, Cricetidae.
AUACCUAGUAGAAUCUGAGGAUCCUUGAUUAUUUUUGUUGUGAGUGCUUUUUUAUACUCGUAUAUGAAUACUAUUAUAUAUAAGCACAGAAUUGUAGUGCACUUACUGAAAUAGUGUGAGAAUGAUGUCCCCCAUAGAAGAGACAUCAGCAGUGCUCCAUUCAAUUUUCUAUUUGUCUAUCACUUCAAUUUUUUAAAUUUUUUUUAUUAGUUCAAGUUAGGGAACAAGUUGUUUCAAUGUAAGUCCCUUCUCCCUCUCCCUCCCCUCACCCCCAUCCCUCCUCCUCCAUCCCCAACCUUAGCCCCCACCCCAUCCACCCACCACUCCCCAGACAGGGUGGGGCCCUCAACGGGGGCUCUGCAGUUUUGAUUAUGGGACUUUUAUAGAGUUCCACAUAGGAGUCUAAGAGUUUUUCUAUAAGGCUGUGCCCAUGGCCUUCUGUAAAUAUUCAUGUGGGAUAGAUGACUUCCAAAAUGAUGCACAGUCCUCUGGAGUUUUAAUAAAAGCAGUUAGUAUGAGACUUAUAACUAAUGGGUAUUCUGUGAUGUGUUUUUAGAGACUGGUCAAGACCUCAGGUUGUCUCAAAGGGAGCUUCAAGAACACAUUUGUCCAUAUUUGUGUUAGUUACAGGAUAACCCUGACUCAGGGCACAGGGCAUCUGAUCUUUCUCUCCAUAGGCAAUGCUGAUGCUGAUGCUAUUCUGAUUUUCUUAUCUGCAUAUAUUUCUUAUAGGUGCUUGGGUAAGAAAUCAUGGCAUCCUUAGUAAGUCUAUUAAAGAUGAGUUCAUACAAUGUAUAUAAUAAGGCCUGGACAUUAAUAUGGAAUCUAUAAAAAUUGAUGGACUGCUUGUGCGAGGAUUCACUUCCUUUACUUUUGAUAUGUCAGCUUAGUACUAAGCAUAACACUUCUUUUGCGAUUGCAGACCAAGAAAGGAUGGACACUCCCAAACUGCAGACAAAGUGGACGUCAUUGAAGCUGAAGUAUCUAGAGCAGAGUGACCCUGAGCAUAUCACGAAUGAAGGCUUGCUGAUAAACUAUAUCAAUAAUGAACUGAAGCUAACACACUGCAAAUCAUAUGAUCUUGGAUAUCCAAUCAGUGAAGAUGCCUACCAUUUUGUCCUCACACUUUUUUGAUAUUUCUAGUAAGAUCUGAGGCAGUGUACAGUUUUGAGGGGAACCUCAGUUAUUUGUUAAGACUUCAUUUUUAUCUGUGUAUAUAUAGCAUGUAUUCUUCCUUUUCUCCUGCUUGUCCACAUACACUGAGUUAAAACAUAAAUAGGUCACUGCAAACCUGAGUAAAUCUUUUAUUCUCUAUCCUUGUUACUAUAACUAAUGUUUCCAUCACUCACAUACAUAAUGGCAGAAGUGUCGUCAAAAGUGAUCUAGGUCAUUUUUGUUGUGUCCACCAUGGUGAUAUGGAAGGAUCCUAUAUUAUAAGAUCUCUUUUUCUAAGUGUAACUCUUGUCACUGAACUUCUGUAAUACUCUAAGGUUCAAGAAACACCAGGGUGACCUUGAGAUUGGCAUAUAUACAUAAGAUUUCAAUGAUUCCUCUUUCUGAGGUACACCAAAACAGCACAGUGAAAUGGAUAAUACUAGCAGUGAGACCAAAGACCAUUGCUGGUAUCCAGGUUAAUGAUGUUCAGGAUUUCUGUCAUGGCACUGAACCUCUGAUCUUUAGUAAGUACCAAUGGUGUCCCUCGUCCUUCUUGUCACUGUGCUUUUGUUAACAUUAAUAAGGUAAUAAUUGAUGGGAUAAUAAAUCCUUAGCAAUUCUCAUUACUAAGAAUGAAUUCUUUUUAUAUGGUACAGAAAAUUCAUGUUAAAAGCCUGUGCGGUCUAAAGGGUUGGUUUUGUCCUGAGUGGUCAUUGUUGAAGUGGCAGCACCUUAGUAAACACUGUGUGUUCAGGAAGGCAUUCUGAUUAUAUAACCUGUCAACCUUAACAAAAGCACAAAUUUCCAGAUAGAAGUGAAGUGUUUCCUAACAGUGAUGGUAGACAGUAGAGUAAAAAGCACAUUGCAUCCUCAAA